GACGAACGCUGGCGGCGUGCUUAACACAUGCAAGUCGAACGGAAAGGCCCUGCUUUUGUGGGGUGCUCGAGUGGCGAACGGGUGAGUAACACGUGAGUAACCUGCCCUUGACUUUGGGAUAACUUCAGGAAACUGGGGCUAAUACCGGAUAGGAGCUCCUGCUGCAUGGUGGGGGUUGGAAAGUUUCGGCGGUUGGGGAUGGACUCGCGGCUUAUCAGCUUGUUGGUGGGGUAGUGGCUUACCAAGGCUUUGACGGGUAGCCGGCCUGAGAGGGUGACCGGCCACGUGGUGACGAGGAGACGGCCCAGACUGGUGGGGGAGGCAGCAGGGGGAAAGAUGGCAGGACGGGGGGGCGGCGGAGGCCGCACGGGCGCGGGCUGGCUGCCUGGCUGGGGGUCGUAAAGCGCUGUCGCCGGUGGGGAAGGGUGGGUGACGGUGGUGGGAAAGGAAGCACCGGCUAACGACGCGACAGCACGCGCGGUAAUAAGCGGAACACCACACGUCUAUAC
RNAcentral lists this ribosomal RNA (509 nucleotides) under uncultured bacterium. RNAcentral describes it as "partial 16S ribosomal RNA". The stretch from base 20 to 332 matches the Rfam family "Bacterial small subunit ribosomal RNA", at positions 47 to 358 of the family's 1533-position model. The record is from RNAcentral.